GGGGGCCCGCACAAGCGGUGGAGCAUGUGGUUUAAUUCGACGCAACGCGCAGAACCUUACCAGCCCUUGACAUGUCCAGGACCGGUCGCAGAGACGUGACCUUCUCUUCGGAGCCUGGAACACAGGUGCUGCAUGGCUGUCGUCAGCUCGUGUCGUGAGAUGUUGGGUUAAGUCCCGCAACGAGCGCAACCCCCGUCCUUAGUUGCUACCAUUUAGUUGAGCACUCUAAGGAGACUGCCGGUGAUAAGCCGCGAGGAAGGUGGGGAUGACGUCAAGUCCUCAUGGCCCUUACGGGCUGGGCUACACACGUGCUACAAUGGCGGUGACAGUGGGAUGCGAAGACGCAAGUCCUAGCAAAUCUCAAAAAGCCGUCUCAGUUCGGAUUGGGCUCUGCAACUCGAGCCCAUGAAGUUGGAAUCGCUAGUAAUCGUGGAUCAGCACGCCACGGUGAAUACGUUCCCGGGCCUUGUACACACCGCCCGUCACACCAUGGGAGUUGGCUUUACCUGAAGACGGUGCGCUAACCAGCAAUGGAGGCAGCCGGCCACGGUAGGGUCAGCGACUGGGGUGAAGUCGU
This 577-nucleotide ribosomal RNA is filed under the name Bradyrhizobium sp. Its description in RNAcentral is "bacterial SSU rRNA". It matches the Rfam family "Bacterial small subunit ribosomal RNA", at positions 915 to 1489 of the family's 1533-position model. The record is from RNAcentral. Lineage: Bacteria; Pseudomonadati; Pseudomonadota; Alphaproteobacteria; Hyphomicrobiales; Nitrobacteraceae.